Non-coding RNA from Pholiota molesta, 86 nucleotides. Lineage: Eukaryota; Fungi; Basidiomycota; Agaricomycetes; Agaricales; Strophariaceae. The record is from the annotation of a GenBank genome assembly.
CCUUCGAUAGCUCAAUUGGAAGAGCGUGAGACUGUAAUGGGGAAAUGACUAUCUCAAGGUCGCUGGUUCGAUCCCGGCUCGAAGGA